UGGUCAUGCGUCGCAUUAGCUAGUUGGCGGGGUAACGGCCCACCAAGGCGACGAUGCGUAGGGGUUCUGAGAGGAAGGUCCCCCACACUGGUACUGAGACACGGACCAGACUCCUACGGGAGGCAGCAGUGAGGAAUAUUGGUCAAUGGCCGCAGGGCUGAACCAGCCAAGUCGCGUGAGGGAUGACGGUCCUAUGGAUUGUAAACCUCUUUUGUCAGGGAGCAAAGGGCGCCACGUGUGGCGCUUUGCGAGUACCUGAAGAAAAAGCAUCGGCUAACUCCGUGCCAGCAGCCGCGGUAAUACGGAGGAUGCGAGCGUUAUCCGGAUUUAUUGGGUUUAAAGGGUGCGCAGGCGGAAUGUCAAGUCAGCGGUAAAAUUUCGGGGCUCAACCCCGUCGUGCCGUUGAAACUGGCGUUCUUGAGUGAGCGAGAAGUAUGCGGAAUGCGUGGUGUAGCGGUGAAAUGCAUAGAUAUCACGCAGAACUCCGAUUGCGAAGGCAGCAUACCGGCGCUCAACUGACGCUCAUGCACGAAAGCGUGGGUAUCGAACAGGAUUAGAUACCCUGGUAGUCCACGCAGUAAACGAUGAAUACUAACUGUCCGGGCAGAAUGAUGCCUGG
Molecule: ribosomal RNA, 619 nt
Filed under: uncultured bacterium
Lineage: Bacteria
Description: bacterial SSU rRNA
Rfam family: Bacterial small subunit ribosomal RNA
Source: RNAcentral